AAUCGAUUUUGUGCUGCAGUACUUCCUGCAAUAUGAGAAACGUAACACAAGAGGUGAUUUCUUCUUCCCUUUCUCUAAAGCUUGGUUCGCGUCAUUUAGGGCCCACCUAUCUAUUGGUGUAGGAAAAGUUCGUCUAACGCGUUCCUCGACAUCUUGUGGUGUGUGUGGAGGAGGACGUCCGCAAAGCAUCCCUAGCAUUCGAAGAAUCAAGCUUUCCACAUAGUCAAGGGCAUCUUGUCUUGCCUGUAAACUUGGAUGAACUUGUUCUAAU
Molecule: unclassified non-coding RNA, 271 nt
Filed under: Athalia rosae (coleseed sawfly)
Lineage: Eukaryota; Metazoa; Arthropoda; Insecta; Hymenoptera; Athaliidae
Description: misc RNA ENSAEAG00005002738.1
Source: RNAcentral